RNAcentral lists this long non-coding RNA (429 nucleotides) under Homo sapiens (human). RNAcentral describes it as "HSALNT0242316". Lineage: Eukaryota; Metazoa; Chordata; Mammalia; Primates; Hominidae. The record is from RNAcentral.
CCUUGCACACCACGCUCGCCAAGGAACCCCUUCUCAGCACUGAAUUGAGAUUAUCCCAAACAGCCCCUCUCUUCCUCCUAGGGAUGUGUCAAAGGCUUCCCCCCUCCCCAAACUAUGGACCAAGAUUUAUCAAUAGAAGGGUUGAGGGAAAGUCACAGCAUAUUCCAGCAGCUCUUAAAAGAAGUCACCCAGACUAGCAAUCAUGCAGCCCCCACUUCCCUCUGUGCUGCUCCCUUCAUGGGAGGAAGUUCUUUCCGGCGUCUAACCUCAAUCCCUCUAGUUGAUGGCUGUCUGAUUAGCUAGGAGCGGGGGCCUGUCCCUCUGGAUUCCCUGCAUCUCCCACCCCUCUGGCCGGCUGCUCCCUCUUACCUGUUCACCAGGUUUGCCUGCUUCACCUGGAGGACCAGCAGGACCAGGGAGACCCUGUAG